UUGGCUUGCUCAAGUCAGUGUCCAAAUUCUUUCCUGCACUUUCAAGGGGCGCUGGGUUGGUAGAAG
Molecule: long non-coding RNA, 66 nt
Organism: Camelus ferus (Wild Bactrian camel)
Lineage: Eukaryota; Metazoa; Chordata; Mammalia; Artiodactyla; Camelidae
Rfam family: Maternally expressed 8 exon 3
Source: Rfam